ACUAACAAGGAUCCCCUAGUAACUGCGAGUGAAGCGGGAAAAGCUCAAAUUUAAAAUCUGGCGGUCUUUGGUCGUCCGAGUUGUAAUCUAGAGAAGUAAUGCCCGUGCUGGACCGUGUAUAAGUCUCCUGGGAUGGGGCGUCAUAGAGGGUGAGAAUCCCGUCUUUGACACGGACUACCAGUGCAUUGUGGUAUGCUCUCAAAGAGUCGAGUUGUUUGGGAAUGCAGCUCAAAAUGGGUGGUAAAUUCCAUCUAAAGCUAAAUAUUGGCGAGAGACCGAUAGCGAACAAGUACCGUGAGGGAAAGAUGAAAAGAACUUUGGAAAGAGAGUUAAACAGUACGUGAAAUUGCUGAAAGGGAAACGCUUGAAGUCAGUCGCGUUGGCCGGGGAUCAGCCUUGCUUUUGCAUGGUGUACUUUCUGGUUGACGGGUCAGCAUCAAUUUUGACCGCUGGAAAAGGGCCUGGGGAAUGUGGCAGCUUCGGCUGUGUUAUAGCCCCUGGUCACAUACGGCGGUUGGGAUUGAGGAACUCAGCACGCCGCAAGGCCGGGUUUCGACCACGUUCGUGCUUAGGAUGCUGGCAUAAUGGCUUUAAGCGACCCGUCUUGAAACACGGACCAAGGAGUCUAACAUGCCUGCGAGUAUUUGGGUGAAAAACCCGAGUGCGCAAUGAAAGUGAAAGUUGAGAUCCCUGUCGUGGGGAGCAUCGACGCCCGGACCAGAACUUUUGGGACGGAUCCGCGGUGGAGCAUGUAUGUUGGGACCCGAAAGAUGGUGAACUAUGCCUGAAUAGGGUGAAGCCAGAGGAAACU
RNAcentral lists this ribosomal RNA (811 nucleotides) under Agaricus sylvicola. Its description in RNAcentral is "partial large subunit ribosomal RNA". It matches the Rfam family "Eukaryotic large subunit ribosomal RNA", at positions 64 to 863 of the family's 3401-position model. Lineage: Eukaryota; Fungi; Basidiomycota; Agaricomycetes; Agaricales; Agaricaceae. The record is from RNAcentral.